Molecule: long non-coding RNA, 151 nt
Organism: Perognathus longimembris pacificus (Pacific pocket mouse)
Lineage: Eukaryota; Metazoa; Chordata; Mammalia; Rodentia; Heteromyidae
Exons: 3
Source: RefSeq, a predicted model, not a curated record
CCUUUCUCCAUGCACAUCUUUCUCCACAGCCAAGAUGACAGGCAUGCUCCGUCACCAUCCACUACUUAGGUUUAUGGCUUUUGAUAUACAAGAUUGUUAGUAUUGUCACUAUAAAUAUGACAGUUCUCAUCAAUUCAUGAUUCAGUUAAAA